UUCUUCGGAGCCCGAGUAAAGCGGCGAAAGGGUGAGUAGUACCUAGGUAACCUGCCCCAAAGCCGGGGAUAACGUCUGGAAACGGACGCUAAUACCCGAUGUGGCAGCGGGUCUUCGGAUCUGCUGUCAAAGAUAGCCUCUGUUUACAAGCUUUCGCUUUGGGAGGGGCCUCGGGCCUAUCAGCUUGUUGGUGAGGUAACGGCUCACCAAGGCAGGGACGGGUAGCCGGUCUGAGAGGAUGGUCGGCCACACUGGGACUGAGACACUGCCCAGACUCCUACGGGAGGCUGCAGUCGAGGAUCUUCCGCAAUGGACGAAAGUCUGACGGAGCGACGCCGCGUGCGGGAGGAAGGCCUUCGGGUUGUAAACCGCUGUUACCCGUUAAGAAUGCUCGAUCGUGAAUAGCGGUCGGGUUGACGUAAGCGGGGGAGGAAGCCACGGCUAACUUCGUGCCAGCAGCCGCGGUAAUACGAAGGUGGCAAGCGUUGUUCGGAAUCACU
Molecule: ribosomal RNA, 500 nt
Filed under: uncultured bacterium
Lineage: Bacteria
Description: bacterial SSU rRNA
Rfam family: Bacterial small subunit ribosomal RNA
Source: RNAcentral